Molecule: ribosomal RNA, 339 nt
Filed under: uncultured Pseudomonas sp.
Lineage: Bacteria; Pseudomonadati; Pseudomonadota; Gammaproteobacteria; Pseudomonadales; Pseudomonadaceae
Description: bacterial SSU rRNA
Rfam family: Bacterial small subunit ribosomal RNA
Source: RNAcentral
AUGGCGUGUCGUCAGCUCGUGUCGUGAGAUGUUGGGUUAAGGUCCGUACGACGCGCAACCCUUGUCCUUAGUUACCAGCACGUUAUGGUGGGCACUCUAAGGAGACUGCCGGUGACAAACCGGAGGAAGGUGGGGAUGACGUCAAGUCAUCAUGGCCCUUACGGCCUGGGCUACACACGUGCUACAAUGGUCGGUACAAAGGGUUGCCAAGCCGCGAGGUGGAGCUAAUCCCAUAAAACCGAUCGUAGUCCGGAUCGCAGUCUGCAACUCGACUGCGUGAAGUCGGAAUCGCUAGUAAUCGUGAAUCAGAAUGUCACGGUGAAUACGUUCCCGGGCCUU